Molecule: long non-coding RNA, 1133 nt
Organism: Orcinus orca (killer whale)
Lineage: Eukaryota; Metazoa; Chordata; Mammalia; Artiodactyla; Delphinidae
Exons: 10
Source: RefSeq, a predicted model, not a curated record
CAGCUUCAGAAGACAAAGGAACUCCGGGGAGUGGCCUGCUGGCUGUGUCUGCAUCUCUUGAAAAUUGAUUGACAUUCAGAAUCCAGCUGGAGGAAGGACUCCGGAAAACCACGCGGGUGUACACGGAAACUCCAUUCUUUCGUUUGUGAAUGCCUGAAACAUGCCCAAACAAGCUAGAGUGUGGAACUGGAGCCUCCAAGGAUCUCCCAGGUCACCGGUCUCUUUCCACAAAUGACAGGUUCUGGGAAAGGAAGAGUUAAACGUUUUGACAAUGGUGUCAAAACAAAAUAAAAGGCAAAAGAUGAAAAGUAAGAUAGGAAACUCCACAAAAGACACCCAGAAAAAAAAUCCUCCUUCCUGAUCAUAAGCAUUCACUUAGUGACAAGAAGAAGCCCUGCCUGCGGAUGUCAGCAAAGCAACAUUGGCCUCUGCGUGCUCUCAGAUGUGAGUCCUCUAUACAAAAAAAUAAAAUAUUCCUGAUAUUCACUUGAAGACACCCAAUAUUAACUUCUCAAAGGAGAUGAACCCACAUCUGUACUAGUCCACCUGACCGUCCACUGUUCGCAGUUCCAUGGAGAAAAACGGAACAGGGGAUAUCAGAGCUAUCUCCAGUUGUAGCCUCUUGCUUAUACCAUCUCAACAUUAUUCGCAAGAGCCAAGAUAGGAAAACAACCUGUGCCCAUCAACAGAUGAAUGGAUGAAGAAGACAUGAUGUACAUAUAUAAUGAAGUAUUAUCAAGCCAUGAGAAAGAAGGAAAUCCUGCCAUUUUUAUCAACAUGGGUGGACCUUGAAGGCAUUAUGCUUAGUGAGGUUUCCACUGCAGUCCUGUGUCUUGGAAGAAUGAUGGAAGGUCAAGUUAAAACCACAUGUUAGAGGUGUUCUAGAACAAGAUGGGAGAAUUUGCACCAAGGACCUAAGAGUAAUGAUAUGUGAAUGGACCUCUCAGAAUGGACACAGAGUUUGAAAAUAUUUGUACCUCCUCAACAAGAAUAAACCAUGAGAGCUGAUCAUUGUGGACCUUCCUAAUCCCAGGCAACUGGGAAAGUCAUUAUAGAAAGAUUAUCAUAACUUACUCCACACUAUUCUUGAAUUGGAACUUUUUAAAUGUAUUCAGUCCUCUUAAAUGUGUUAU